UUCGUUGAAAUACUAUAAUUUGGAAUUGUGGUAGGAUCUUUGCAGGGUUUAAUGUGGACCAAGCUACGGCGAUAACCUGCACCAUUUACCUCCACCUGGAAAGAACGUUCACUUAAGCGAUUCGACACAGUGCCACGAGACCAUUCUUUUGAAAUUUCUGGAUUUAACGCACAUAUACUGGCGAUCCAACUUAAAGAUCAGAAUUCGGAACACCUUCGACAACCUUUGGGAAUAGAUUUUUCGCCGAUGUCGGUAUACCGCACUUCGUGGAUCUCGAAAAAAAACGGGCCGCUGGACUGGAACCUAUUUUAUUGGUAAACGUUUAGCGAUCUUCACGGCUGCCUCCGCUUUCCCGUUAGAUUGCUGGUGAUGAGGAGAUGAUGUAGUGUGCUGAAAAUCCCAUUCGAUGGCGAAUUCUUCGUACCGUUAUGUUAGUAUAAUUUGUGGCUUUCCGUGACAGGCGAAGUUCUCCUUGCAGGCGGCUAUAACUGAUUCAGGUUUCAAAUCUUUCAAGAUAUUAACUUCAAAGUAAUCCGAGUAAUGGUCAACUGUCACAAGAAAUGCUCUCUUAGUUCCUUGGUAAUCAGAGAAAAACACAUCCAUGGAAACAAAUUGAAAAGGGUACACUGGAAUGCCGUGAGUCAUCAUAGGCGGAUUGGAUUGAGAUGCAGCAAAUUUAGCACAUGUUGCACACGACUGGAUAGCUUCUUUUAUCUGAGCACUCAUUCCUGGCCAAAAGACAUUCGCUCGAGCCAGCUUCAACGUAGCUUCAAUUCCGUUAUGACUUGCGUGACAAAUAUCAAUGAGCUUCCUGCGCAAAGGUUGCGGUACCAGGAUUCUAUCGUUCCGGAAAAUAAGUCCGUCUUGGGUGGACAGCUCUUGCGAGUAACGAAUAUAAAUCUUCACACUAUCGGGCACUUGGUCAGCCGUUGUUGGCCAACCAUUCAGGAUGUAUUCGAUGAUGAGCUGCAUCGUCGAGUCUUUUGCUGU
This is a long non-coding RNA of Wyeomyia smithii (pitcher-plant mosquito), 990 nucleotides long. RefSeq lists it as uncharacterized. Lineage: Eukaryota; Metazoa; Arthropoda; Insecta; Diptera; Culicidae. The transcript has 3 exons. The record is from RefSeq and is a predicted model, not a curated record.